GAGGUAGGGGUGGGGAGUGAAUGAAAGCUCAUAGCUGAUAAGGAAAUUCCAGUCAUUCUUAUCAGCUCUGUAUAGAUAACACAGAAUAUAAAGGGGAAUCCCCUCCUCCUGAAGUGGAAUCCCACAACUCUUCUCCAACAAUGAAGAAGUAGAUGAAGAGGUAGGGGUGGGGAGUGAAUGAAAGCUCAUAGCUGAUAAGGAAAUUCCAGUCAUUCUUAUCAGCUCUGUACAG
Non-coding RNA from Parasteatoda tepidariorum (common house spider), 232 nucleotides. The record is from RefSeq and is a predicted model, not a curated record. NCBI's taxonomy places the organism in Eukaryota, Metazoa, Arthropoda, Arachnida, Araneae, Theridiidae.